This 336-nucleotide unclassified non-coding RNA is filed under the name soil metagenome. RNAcentral's name for it is "partial contains 5.8S ribosomal RNA, internal transcribed spacer 2, and large subunit ribosomal RNA". The stretch from base 1 to 120 matches the Rfam family "5.8S ribosomal RNA", at positions 35 to 154 of the family's 154-position model. The record is from RNAcentral.
GAUGAAGAACGCAGCGAAAUGCGAUAAGUAAUGUGAAUUGCAGAAUUCAGUGAAUCAUCGAAUCUUUGAACGCACAUUGCGCCCGCCAGUAUUCUGGCGGGCAUGCCUGUUCGAGCGUCAUUUCAACCAUCAAGCCCCAGGCUUGUGUUGGGGACCUGCGGCUGCCGCAGGCCCUGAAAACCAGUGGCGGGCUCGCUGUCACACCGGGCGUAGUAGAUUUUAUCUCGCUCAGGGCGUGCUGCGGGUUCCGGCCGUUAAAAAGCCUUUUUUACCCAAGGUUGACCUCGGAUCAGGUAGGAAGACCCGCUGAACUUAAGCAUAUCAGUAAGCGGAGGA